This 497-nucleotide ribosomal RNA is filed under the name uncultured bacterium. RNAcentral's name for it is "partial 16S ribosomal RNA". It matches the Rfam family "Bacterial small subunit ribosomal RNA", at positions 28 to 507 of the family's 1533-position model. The record is from RNAcentral.
GAUGAACGCUGGCGGCGUGCCUAAUACAUGCAAGUCGAGCGAACAGACGAGGAGCUUACUCCUCUGACGUUAGCGGCGGACGGGUGAGUAACACGUGGAUAACCUACCUAUAAGACUGGGAUAACUUCGGGAAACCGGAGCUAAUACCGGAUAACAUGUUGAACCGCAUGGUUCAACAGUGAAAGACGGUCUUGCUGUCACUUAUAGAUGGAUCCGCGUCGCAUUAGCUAGUUGGUAAGGUAACGGCUUACCAAGGCAACGAUGCGUAGCCGACCUGAGAGGGUGAUCGGCCACACUGGAACUGAGACACGGUCCAGACUCCUACGGGAGGCAGCAGUAGGGAAUCUUCCGCAAAGGGCGAAAGCCUGACGGAGCAACGCCGCGUGAGUGAAGAAGGUCUUCGGAUCGUAAAACUCUGUUAUUAGGGAAGAACAAAUGUGUAAGUAACUAUGCACGUCCUGACGGUACCUAAUCAGAAAGCCACGGCUAACUACGUG